RNAcentral lists this ribosomal RNA (441 nucleotides) under uncultured bacterium. Its description in RNAcentral is "partial 16S ribosomal RNA". It matches the Rfam family "Bacterial small subunit ribosomal RNA", at positions 338 to 795 of the family's 1533-position model. The record is from RNAcentral.
CCUACGGGUGGCAGCAGUGGGGAAUAUUGCACAAUGGGGGAAACCCUGAUGCAGCGACGCCGCGUGAGUGAAGAAGUCUUUCGGUAUGUAAAGCUCUAUCAGCAGGGAAGAAAAAAGACGGUACCUGACUCAGAAGCCCUGGCUAACUACGUGCCAGCAGCCGCGGUAAUCCGUAGGGGGCAAGCGUUGUCCGGAUUUACUGGGUGUAAAGGGAGCGUAGUCGGGGCGGUAAGUCUGAAGUGAAAGGCACGGGCUUAACCCCUGAACUGCUUUGGAUACUGCCAUGCUAGAGUGCUGGAGAGGUAAGUGGAAUUCCUGGUGUAGCGGUGAAAUGCGUAGAUAUUAGGAGGAACACCAGUGGCGAAGGCGGCUUACUGGACAGUAACUGACGUUGAGGCUCGAAAGCGUGGGGAGCAAACAGGAUUAGAUACCCUUGUAGUC